This 2783-nucleotide long non-coding RNA is filed under the name Anneissia japonica. Its description in RNAcentral is "uncharacterized LOC117112621". Lineage: Eukaryota; Metazoa; Echinodermata; Crinoidea; Comatulida; Comatulidae. The record is from RNAcentral.
UGGGCAUCUUGAUAGCUAAUCACUUCAACUUUAUUUAAACCAGCUUUAUGAUGCUAGGGAUCAGUUGACGGAAACUGCAGAACGAUCAUCAUCAUUGGCAGGUCAUGUUAUCGAUUACGUGUUAGCUGAACUAUGGAAGACCAAGGCUGGGACAUCGAUUUGGUUGUCAAGAUACUGAGGCGGCAAAAAGAGCUUAUGCUUGCCCCUGAGACAAGCAAAUCAUACGAAGCACGCCUAGAUUUUACACAACAGGAUGUGAUAUGCGAAUUACAGAAAAUAUGGCGUGAAGUAGAUUACCAAGUGCUGGAUGAAUUAGGCGUUGAGAUACCACCGAAAUUUCCCGGUAUUCUCGCCUAUGUUCACAAGAGGUACGCCGGCAAUCAGCAGGUUUUUAAGGAACUAGACUACAUCACACACAGUGGGCCAUACAAAGAUAUCCUCCAAGUGGGGUCAACAUAUCCUGAUGUUGAGUUGGUAUCUGUAGAAUCGCAGGAGAAGUACCCACUCUCAAGACUGCAUCUCCACAAAGAACGCCCCCUACUCAUUGUUACGUCAUCAGCAUCCUGACCCCCGUUUCAGGCCAUCUUAAGGGGCGGCGGACUCUACAAUCUGUAUGCCGACUAUAAAGAUACGGUGGAUUUUUUAUGUAUAUAUCAGACUGAAGCUCAUCCUAAAGAGAUGUGGAAUCUAGGAUCUAUCCUAAGCAGUAUAUCACACCACGCUACGAUGGACGACAGAAAAGAAGCAGCAAUGAACUUGAUCAAGAUAGAUGAAGAACACUACUCCUUAUUUACAAGUGAUCCAUUCUCUAAUACUAAAAUCCGUUUGGUUUGCGAUAACAUGGACAACACCUUCAGAUCAUCGUUCAACGCCCAUCCGGACAGGAUUUUUCUUAUACAAGGCGAAAAGUUAACCUACCUCGGACGAACUAUUUUUUCACAAAUGUCUGAACCGAUGAAGUUGAUGACAGAUGAAGCCCGGCAAUUACUUAAAGAGAUUAUCGGAUAAACAGAAUCAGUAAAAGAAAUUCUCAGUAAUAUAAAAACUCUCUCAGGUUUCGUGUUUCGUGUAUUCUCUAUUUGAAAAACGAAAAUAUUUUAACUAGACAUUUCAUUAUCAUUUAUCUUUGAUAACCAGGGAGCUAAGUUAAUGGUGAAGAUUGUAAAUUGAUUGAAAUCUCCAGAAAAAAAUGUCUUUCAAUUUUAAAAUAGUGAAAUUACAAUGAAACGUAUACUGUACAUUGUAGGCGUGAUUAACUCCUCACACACACUGGGCCAUACCGUCCCCAUGUAGGCCUAGAUUGUGACUGCGUGGAUCUACGUGAACGAAAGUGUGCUAUAAAUACUAAAAUUUGGAUAACUUCCAAUGUGGUAGUACAGAAUGUACUGUAUAUUUAGACUCUACUCCUAUACUGUAUUCAAAAAUGUACUUUAUGCGUUCAGCUAUAAGUCUUAUCAAUGGCAAAAUUUGUUAUUUGAAUUGCAAACUUCGUAUUAGUAGCUUUCAAUAUUGAAAAGUAUAACGAGAUUGCGUUCUCUUUCCAUUUCGAACUUUAUAAACUAUUUGAUUAUUAGAGAUGUUCAAUGUUUUAUUGAAUGCUUGUUUUACGAUUGAAGAACAGAAAGUAUAUUCAUGCUAUGCCCUAUGCUAUGGAAUACUUUAUUCAAAUAUCAUUAUAAAAAUUAAAACUAUAGGGGCGACAAUCAUGUUCAUAAGAGGAACAAUAGAUACUCGUCAUAAAAUAUUGAAGGUAAUUUAUAGUCUUAUAAUAUUUAAUAAAACUUUAAUUAAAUUUAAAUUUAUUCACUCAAAAAUGCAAAGCAUAAUGUCAGGCUGGCAUGAGGAAAACUUGAAGCUGAAUCUCUGUUUACGCUAUCAAAUUUUAUUUUACUAAAAUCGUAUGCCCAUAUAGUCAUGAUGUGCCUAUAUAGGGUCAUGAUGUCAUCAGGACCAUAUUCAGGCAUGUCGCAUGUUUUUUAACAAAUUAAAUUUAGUCUGGCCAGGUCUUGAGGAACACUUGAAGCUAAAUAUCAAUUCACACUAUCACAUUUUAUUUUAUUUAAAAAAAACUGUUGUUUGCCCUUAUAUGUGUCAUGAUGCGACUAUAUAUGGUCAUGAUGUGAUGUCAUCAUGACCAUAUUUAGGCAUGUCACAUGUUUUUGUCAAAUGAAAUUUUAUAGUGUUAACAGGGCUUAAGCUUGUAAACAAUGUGUUCUCCGGCAAAAUUUAUUUAUAUCAGUACAUAAGUUUUUCAUUAUUGAAGAAACAAGAAAAACCUCAAUUAAAAUCCAUUUAGACCUAUACUUGUUAAGUAACUAUUCUUUAUAAUGAACUACUCAAUAAAUUAUCUACACUACCGUUCAGUUGAUAUUAGUUACACUGCGAUGUAUUUGCUUACAUUAUGAAGAUUAAAAUUAUUGUGUUGGGGAUGUUUGUGAAUUUGUCGUAUGUAUUUAUACUAGGCCUAGGUUUCGUGUAAGGAACACCCCCGGGAACCUCUCCCCAUGGUUCCAUCGCCGGGAUUCCAAACCGACGCCUUCUCGGUUGGUAUCAAUUGAGUUAUAGGCCAAGCUAGUAAUAGUAUACCGCACUGAAUUUCUUAAUCAUGUACGUACUUGUGAAUUCGUGGCCAUUUAUAUGUUUUAAGUUAAACAAUAACGUUCAAGACCACAAUGACAACAAUUUGGUAAAUGUAGAUUCUGCAGCCUAAUCGUUUGAUGAAUUGUCUUAAUACGCUACUGUUUCAUUUCGAAAAUGAAUAAAUGUUCUACUUCACAAAUGUA